This 772-nucleotide long non-coding RNA is filed under the name Homo sapiens (human). RNAcentral's name for it is "HSALNT0218374". Lineage: Eukaryota; Metazoa; Chordata; Mammalia; Primates; Hominidae. The record is from RNAcentral.
AUGCCUUUCUUAAGGAAAGCAUCACACAGAUAAAAUAAAUAAAAGCUUCAGACAAAAGUGAAGCAAAUUAAAGUCCAUCCCGCCAUCCUUCCAAAGAGCAAAGAAAGUCCAUGGAAAUUCAUCAACAUCCAGGAUGCUCAGGAGCUUCCAGGUUCAACAGAUGCGUGAGAUCCAUAGCAGAAACAUUGCUGUCCUCUUCAGAUUCAAGUACGGGUGAAAGUCAAGCUCUGGGAUACUGGAGCAGGGCUAUAUAAUUCUCUUUCCCUUGUAAUUUCAUUAAAAAAGAUUAAGGAAACCCUUGAAAAGUUGUAGAUACCUAAAAUUUUGGCCGUGCAUUGAUCAUCCACAAAAAGUGAAAGAUCACAAGUGAUCAAGCCACAUGUGUGAAAAAUCUCAAAUACACUUUGGGAGGCCGAGGCGGGCCGAUCAUAAGGUCAGGAGAUCGACACCAUCCUGGCUAACAGGGUGAAACCCCGUCUCUACUAAAAAUACAAAAAAUUAGCUGGGCAUGGUGGUGGGCACCUGUAGUCCCAGCUACUGGGAAGACUGAGGCAGAAGAAUGGCGUGAACCCGGGAGGCGAAGCUUGCAGUGAGCCGAGAUCGCACCACUGCACUCUAGCCUGGGCAACAGAGCGAGACUCCAUCUCAAAAAAAAAAAAAAAAAAAAAAAGAAAGAAAACUCUCAAAUAACUCUUGAUUCAAAUAGUCAACAUAACUCCUGGAGGAAAAAAAAAAGCAUUUCUACAUUGAGAGAGACAUUGCUAUAGUCCCC